CCUGAGAAACCCAAAAGAUCGAAUGAGGAGAUUCAUCGUCAGCUCAUUUUGUAUAUAUUUGAGUUAUGAUGCGAGUUACUACUUGUAGUAUUGCUUGUACAUUCUUAUAUAUUUAGUUGCAUUAUGUUGUCGGCGUGCACUUCUUCUCUAGUAGAACGUCGCGACCCGUUGGGUGCUGGUUUACGGCUUAGGUGGUAGCCUUUAAUAUAUUAGUAUAUUAAAGACCAUUUAUGUUUCCUAACCGGCUAUCUGGCGGUAUUCGUACGAUAUUAAGCCGCAAUUUUAUUUGCGUCCAUUCCCGUCGCAAGCGAGGUCAAUUACUGAUAGUAUGGACCUAGUGCCGUCGUUAGUAUUGACCAGCUGUUGGUAGUUACGGUGAUCUGGGACUGGCUAAAAAGUUAUUAUCGGUCGGCGAUGCUACUGCUUUGGGUACUUUCAGGACCCGUCUUGAAACACGGACCAAGGAGUCUAACAUGUGCGCAAGUCAUUGGGAUUUUUUUAAAAUUAAACCUAAAGGCAUAAUGAAAGUAAAGGUCGUCUUUACGUCAACCGAGGGAGGAUAAGUUGUAUUAUGAUUCAGCUUCGCACUCCCGGGGCGUCUCAUUCUUAUUGCAAGAAGAGGCGCACUUAG
Molecule: ribosomal RNA, 631 nt
Filed under: Cornutorogas sp. BCLDQ00157
Lineage: Eukaryota; Metazoa; Arthropoda; Insecta; Hymenoptera; Braconidae
Description: partial 28S ribosomal RNA
Rfam family: Eukaryotic large subunit ribosomal RNA
Source: RNAcentral